Molecule: non-coding RNA, 95 nt
Organism: Acanthosepion pharaonis
Lineage: Eukaryota; Metazoa; Mollusca; Cephalopoda; Sepiida; Sepiidae
Source: the annotation of a GenBank genome assembly
GAACACCUAUUCUCGUACGAUCACCGAAGUUAAGCUCCGUCGAGCUUGGUCAGUAUCUACAUGGGUGAUCGCUUGGGAAUACCAGGUGAUGUAAG